UACGUAGGGGGCAAGCGUUGUCCGGAAUCAUUGGGCGUAAAGCGCGCGUAGGCGGCCAGAUUAGUCCGGUGUGAAAGUCAGAGGCUCAACCUUUGAAUGCCGCUGGAAACUGUCUGGCUUGAGUCCGGAAGGGGCGAGUGGAAUUCCACGUGUAGCGGUGAAAUGCGUAGAGAUGUGGAGGAACACCAGUGGCGAAGGCGACUCUCUGGACCAGCACUGACACUGAGGCACGAAAGCGUGGGGAGCAAACAGG
Molecule: ribosomal RNA, 253 nt
Filed under: uncultured bacterium
Lineage: Bacteria
Description: partial 16S ribosomal RNA
Rfam family: Bacterial small subunit ribosomal RNA
Source: RNAcentral